GAUGAACGCUGGCGGCGUGCUUAACACAUGCAAGUCGAACGGCAGCGCGGACUUCGUGCUGGCGGCGAGUGGCGCACGGGGGUGUGAUGUACCGGAGCAUGCCCCGUAGCAGGGGAUGACAACGCGAAAGCGUAGCUGAUACCACAUACGACCUACGGCUGAAACAAGGGGGUCGUAAGACCUUGCCCGAUUUGAGGGACCGACAUCGGGUUUGCUAGCUGGUUAGGUAACGGCUGACUAAGGCGACGAUCCGUAGCUGGCUUGAGAGGACGACCGGCCACACGGGGACUGAGCCACGGCCCAGACUCCUACGGGAGGCAGCAGUGGGGAAUGUUGGGCAAUGGGGGCAACCCUGAUCCAGCCAUCCCGCGUGUGAGAUGAAGGCCUUCGGGUUGUAAAGAACUUUUGGGAGGAAAGAAACGCUGCGGGCUAAUACCCCGCGGAACUGACGGUACCUGCAGAAGAAGCACCGGCUAACUACGUG
Molecule: ribosomal RNA, 484 nt
Filed under: uncultured bacterium
Lineage: Bacteria
Description: partial 16S ribosomal RNA
Rfam family: Bacterial small subunit ribosomal RNA
Source: RNAcentral